AUGCACAGUUCAUUGUCCAGCUCUGCUGUUGUCAGUGCUGAGAUAUUUCUGAUGUGCUAAAACAAAUUGGAGGUUAAUUAGCAGAGUGGCGACAUGUGCCAAAGCUGCCAGUCACCUUCACACACCA
Molecule: small nucleolar RNA, 127 nt
Organism: Takifugu rubripes (torafugu)
Lineage: Eukaryota; Metazoa; Chordata; Actinopteri; Tetraodontiformes; Tetraodontidae
Source: Ensembl